Non-coding RNA from Phasianus colchicus (ring-necked pheasant), 10713 nucleotides. The record is from RefSeq and is a predicted model, not a curated record. NCBI's taxonomy places the organism in Eukaryota, Metazoa, Chordata, Aves, Galliformes, Phasianidae.
AUGAAGCAAUGUGCUGGUCUGGUAGAAGUGCUGAGAGCUACCCAAGGUUUUCAGAGUCAAAGAGAGGAAAUUGGGGCUGCUUUCUGGGGGCUAUUGGUUCUUGAAGAAGAGGGAGCUGUAUGGAACAAUAGUGGUGAAUGCUGCUCUGCUGGGAUCUGUCCUCUUCGUUUCCUCAAGACCAAGCAAAUAAGAAGUGAUUGUAAUGUUAGCUGCUGUCUCCAGAUCAAAAGCUUCCUGCAUCCGUGAGCUGGGGCACUGUGAAAGUCAGAAGGUUUCACACUACUUUGCGGUAGUGCUGUGAUAUUUGCCAAUGCUGGGUUAUAAUUGGAUGGUAUACAGUUUAUGUAUCUAGUGCAGUUAUAAUAUUCAUCUACUUGUAUGCAGCAAAAAAAAAAAAGGGCUGGAAGAGCCCUUGAAAUGCUAGAAGUGUGGGGCUGGGUGGGCUGGCAAGUGCCAAGUGGCUGCUGCUGUGUGCCCAGAUUGGGGCAUUGCUGUGUAUGUGGCACCAUGGGGCUCUUGCUCUGCCCAGGGCUGUGCUGGUAUAGCUGCUGUAAAGUGCAGCCUCCAAGGCAGCCGUUUGCUUGCAAGAUAAAUUGGCCUUUUGUAGGGGACCGUGUCCUGAGCAUGAUGAAAAUGCCAAAUGUGCUGAUAAUGCAACUUGAAACGGAUCCAUGGGGAUUUUCUGCUGGUGUCUUUAAUGCUAUUGUGAGUAGGAAAGAAACUGGGGAAGGAGUGGGGUGACUGGGCUGUGAACUCUGCAGUGGGGUCAGUGCUGAUGUGGGAGGCAUGAAGCAGGACUGAAAUAGGGGUGCUGGGUGGAGGUGGGGAGCAUGUGUUUUUUCUGGUCAGAUGAGGGCUUGGAGGCUCUGUCUUUGGUGCCUCUCUAUUGAGCUUAAGCUCCAGGUCUUGGGGCCAAGUGACCCUGAGUGAGUUUUGUCUGAAUUCGAGAAUGGGAAUGCAGCAGCUCAGUAGCACUCAGGUUUGGGAGAAGGAGGCCCCAAGAACACCCUGGCUUGGAAAACUGACCUUUGCUGAAAGCAGCUAAUCACGUGCAAGUCUUAAGCAUGUCCUUCAGUUCCAUUGAAGAAAAUAGACUUGAAGUGCAUGCUUGAAUCUAAGUGCAUGGUGAAGUAUGUUCAUGGGCCUCAGAUAGGGUAAUGAUGGCUGCACAGAAGAUGGACAGACACAUCAGGAGAUAGGGCUGCAACACAGCCAUGAGCUCACUGCUGUCUCACACGAGGCUGCUCCAGGUCUGGCAGCCCAAAGGACAGAGCCCUGGCUCUUUGCUGUCUUGUGAAGCCUCACUGCAUCGCCCUCAUCCAGGCUCCAUCCUUCCCUUUCCCCAAGGCUGCUCCUUCCCUUGCUCUGCCCACGCUGUGAAAGCGCCUGGCCCGGAUAUUUGCUGCACAUCAGCACAAACUCAACCCUUCACUUUCUGUGCUUAGCAGGACAGAGCCAGCGUGGCUGUGGUGGGGACACCCCUGGUUACCCCUGCCCCUGCCUGGGGUCGCGUUCCCCUCUGUGGCCAUGCAUCUGGCUCACUGGGAAGCCAGAGCCCGCGCUGAGCUCAAAACGCAGCAACAGCAGCCUCUGCUUUUCCACACGUUGGUAUUUUUAGCUCUGCUGUGCAUUAGCGUGCAGGAGCUCAAACUGCGAAGCCUGGCUGAGGUUUUAUCUGUUGUGACAGCCCUUAGGGCUGUAGUCAGACACUCUCUCUCGCUUGCUCGCUCCCUCUCUCCUUUUUUCUUAUUCCUUUUUUAAAGUUUGCAGCUCGGAUCUGCUCCCUCUGCAUGGAUACACUGCAGCUGUCAAGACAAGAGACCAAAGGUGGCAGAUAGGGUCCAAAGUGUGGUCUGAGCCCCUUUGCAAGGAAGCUCUAUUGAGGUCCUUUCUGUAUUUUUCCAUUCCUCCCUGUUGCCCAUGUCAGGGCUGAAGCACUGAGCUGAUGAUGCAGGAUGAGGUGCUGGCUCACUCUGACUGCCCUGACCCAAACGGUCUCCAAAAAGCUGUGCUGAUCGACAGCUGCACUGCUGCUGGUAGCAGAAAUUGGGGAGCAGAGGGCAGAGGUCAGCAUAUGCCAGGGCUCAGAGGGCAGCAUGCAGACCUAGGGCUGCUGCUGCUUUGUCCAAAUCCCUUGUGUCUAUACCAGCACUGUAAAGCACAGAUGUGGCUGCUUUUGGGGCUCCAGGAACCCCAGAAAUAAAACUUCCCUUCAAGACCCAGGGCUCAGCACCCUGCGUGCCUCAGGAGACCUAGCCUGGGCAGUUCUGUGCCUAAACAGAAGUUACCUGAAAAUCUGGUGCCCCCAAAGCUUGUCCAAGGUCAGGGAGGAAGCUGGUGACAGAGCCAGGAAUCAGGUCUGGCUUCCUGUCCCACCUUUCUAGCCUUCCGCUCCAGCCCUCUGCACGCACUCAUCCCAUGUCAUUUCUCACUGUCCGUCCGCAAUUUGGUUGUUUGCUACUCUUUAUACUCUAGAGUGCAGAUAGUUGGUGUAUAUCUAUGUCAUAUUUUCUCAAAAAUCUAUUAAAUUCUCUUCAUUGCUCCCAGGACGUAAAGGGAAAUAGCAGCUGAAGGAUGCUUUUUGUACGAGUAUGAAAUAUCAUCUAAUUAGCAAGCAGGGAUGGCCAUAGGAUGAGCAGAGGGGGGUGUGCAGGUUCCUGUAGGUCUGUCCAUGAUACGAUUUUUCUGGUAUCACAUCAUUUAGAAGUAUAGCAAGUUCAGUAUGUGGCAGCUCCCCUGUCCUUGGCUGGAGACUGAAGAGCUGCAUCUGUAGGUUGGGGUGCCACAGGUAUGGGGGCUGAGCAGUGAUGGCUUUGUCAUCCAUUACCUGGGUAUAAACCCAAAGUGGAGCCUGGGAGGUCCCCCAGGUCCUCCCGCUUCAUUUGCAUUGAUGAGGAGUAGAAGCACAUCCCAAAGUUUAUCCAGGAAAGCUGCAUCUCGGGCAGCUUUUCUAAUUAUCCAUCCCCCCACUGUGUUUGUUCUGUUCUCCCCAACAAUUCCUCCUUUUUGCUGGCAGCAGCCAAUGCCGUGAACCACAGAGAGCAGCUUCACAGCGCUCCUGCUCAACCUGCAGCAGGGAUCUCUGAAAAUAGCUGGUGCGUUUGCCCUUUUGCAGAGAAGCACCCAGGGAUGAGGAUUUUGCAACUCAGCUUGCGGUGUGGAGUGGGGUGUGGGGGGUUUUGCUACGGCUGCAUUUUUAUCGAUGCGGGUUGUUUGCGCAGUGUGAGAGUCUCUGGUAGCAGCCAGAGCAUGGCAGGUACCUCUGCACUGAGCUUCAGAAUCCCAUGGCCAGCAUCCAAGCAGCCCCACAGCAGCUCUGUGGGGUCUUGCUGCCCACCUCCUCCUUUCUUCCACAUCUUCAUGGGGAAAACCCGCUCACGGCUGCAGGGGAUGGAUGUAGAGACCCCAGCGUGAAGCAGCCCUCCUUGCAGGGGAUUUGACACCUGAAUAGCUGGGUGAUGUCUAGGAGGAAUUAAACAGUGCUGAUUUUAUCUCAGAUGUCAAUCUGGAAGAUUAAGGACUUUUUCUUGAGGGAUAGAGGAUGGUGGUAUUUUAGGGGCAUAUAAACUUUCAAAAUACCCUGUGGCAUCUAUGUUAAUGCAUCUUCCUGCAUUAUUAAAAUUCCUUACAGGCUUCCAAACAACUCACAAUUUGGGCUCUAAAAUGCUGGUACAGGCAGAUCUGUGUGGGGGCAAAGCUCAGUGACUCCGUGUGCUUGGUGCUAUAAAGCAGAUGCUCUCCCCUGCCUUCUUACAGCCUCACACGCUGCAGGCAGUUCUCUGCUCGCACCCGAACCCACCCGCUUCUCGCUCAUCCCACUCCUUUGACUCCCUGCUCUGGAGCUGUCUCGGGCUCUCGGCACGUCCGAUGCCUCGGCUGCCAGGAGUUUGCUCUCCAACUGCUUCCCGGCCCCCUCGUGCAUGUGGGCAUGGAGGGGGGGAGCUGCAAGAGCGGGGAAGGAUGAACAGCAGGAGAGUCUUCAGGGAAGGGAUGGGGGAAGCAAAAAAAAGGGGGGAGCAGAAGUGAGAACAGAGAGGAGGAGGGAGAAAGGAUGCUGCCUUGUCUGUUCUCAGAUUUUAUAUUGGUUGAAUCGCACUGGGUUAGCUAAAACUGGUGCAGAGCUGCCUUCCCCUCCCCUUUCCUCCAGGCAGGCACUUGCAUUUGGGGUUGAAUGCCUUAAUUCACUUCAGCUUCAACCUGCUUCUAAUUGACUUAUGCCACAUUGAAAGAAGCUCGGCUUUCCAAGCAAGCAAGCAGCAGUGGUUGCAAAAUUGCACCUUAAGUUAAGUCAGUGUGAUUGUGUGCAUAAAGAAACCUCGAGCAUGGAGCGGACGUGCACAGGAAUAACUGCAAAGGGUUUGUGCUGUGCAGUCCCAGAGUCUGGGCUGCUCUUCUUGGCUUGGCUUUGGGCUGAGUAUGUUGGGGCUCAGGGCCAAGGAGCUUUGUGUCACUGGGGUUCGGCUGUCAGAAGAUUUGCUGUCCCCUCUGAGUCCUCUCUGCUCCAUCCUUCUUCUCAUGCUGCAGAUGUCUGCUAUAAAAAAGAAAAAAAAAGCCUCCACAAACGGCGUGGUAACAUUUACUGGAGGGCUGUUUCUGCUGCACAUCUGAUGCAUAUGACAGGGUCAGAUUAACCCAGCCUCUGCUUUCCAACCACAGCUAUUUGAAAGCACCAAAAACAAUUGCAAAACAAACCAGAGGAACUCUGCCAUCCUGGUGAGGAGCUGGCAGGCUCUGGGGAUGUGUGAGCUGCAGGGAUACACCCACCUGGUGCUCAGCAGGGCCAGAUGAGCUCUUAGUUUGGCAAUGAAUUUGGUCUCCUCAAAGUCAGCCUUUUAAGGGACCGGUGGCUUUCCUUGGUACUUAAGGUUGGGACUUUCAAAGAGCUAAAGAAGGGCUGUGAUAUUAAGUGGAAUAAAGCAUCUAAUGCUGGGGGAUGCUCUCAAAACCCUCCUCUUCCUGGAGGAUGGCUCUUUUGUCACUGUGGAUGGGCUGUCUGAACCGAGGGCAAGAGUCUUUCUUUUUUAUGUGCCCUCUCCUUCUAGUGUCUCCGCAUCUUCCAUGAUUAUUUUGGCCUUGCUACGUCUCUUUCCACUCUUUUUUUUUUUAAUUAUAUAAGCACUGAUUUACCCAUGGUUCUGGCUCAGCUAGUAUUUUAAUUAGAUGUUUAGCCUUCUUUGGUUAUUGAUGCUAGAAAACAGGGCUGGAAGGGACCCCUGGAGGCAGAUGCACCCCUGUGAAAGAGCAAGUUAAGUCUGAACAGUGCUUUCUUAGAGGGCGGUAAGGCCCUGGCACUGCUGCCUGGAGAUGUAUGGGUGCCUCCACCAUGGAGGUGCCCAAGGCCAGGCUGGUUGGGGCCCUGAGCAACCUGAGACCCUCUUUGCAACAGCGGGGUGCUUGGAGUCCUCAUGGCUGGUGAUGCUGAAGGGCAUCAAGAGCAAAGGAAAGGAGCGUGGGGACCCAAAAGUCUCUGCUCCAUAAGAUCCCUCCCCCUAAAAAACCCUGCCCUGUCCUUCACUCGGGCUGGGGGCCCUGCCUGUGACCCCUCAGCCCCACUGCAUGGCAAGGUUGCGGAGCAGCCCUGUGAAUCCUUGCUUGAUGAGGGGAGGACUGGCCAGCAGUCUUCUAGGACAGGGGCUGGGAUGGGCACGAAACAGAAAGCUGAGGUGAGAAAAAGGGAGAGAGGGGAAGAAAAACCCCAAAAACACCUAUGGAGAGGGAAGCGGAGUCGUAGCAGAGCUGCUUGCUGAUGGAGUUGCUAUGGCGACGUGGCGUGAGGAAACAGCAUAACACAGCCCGGCGUGGGGCUGAGGCCUGCGGGGGCUUGGACUCGCUUCUCUCCUCCUCCUCUCACUGCUUUCCUUCCCUCAGAUGUAGUCUUCCUCAGCCCAGAACAGUCCCCCUCCAAGCAGAGGGAGCCGUCUCUUCUGAAGGGAACGUGUGAGGGCUGCUCUUCCCUGCAUCCCCUACGGAAGGCCUGAUUGAGCCCCAGGUUUUGUUCCCAGGCAGUGUGCGCGAUGGACUGGUUUCUCUGUUGUCUCCUGACAGGGGACACCCAGUUUUAAGAGGAAGAAGGCUUUGUUUCAUGUGCCAGCUCUCCUUCCUUUUCGGUGAUGUGAUGCUCUGUCACCAUGACGAGUCACUUCCCCUCCAUGAGUCAGAGGGGCUCCUGCAGGGUGCGCUGGGGCUGACCGUUGGUGCUGUGUUUGCUGUGCAGGAAGAGAAACCCGUGUCACUGUGCAGGGCUGGGGACCUGCCUGUGGACCUGCCACCCACCUCUGCCCUCGGUGUCAACAAUGGCAAACAUCUUACUUUAAAGGCUUCAAGGCUCCAGGUCGUGGAGCUUGGAGUUCUGGUCUGAGAUUUUAUUGACAAAAUUAAGGUAUUCUUGGCAACUCUGUGAUCAUAGCAGAAGGGAAAUGUAAUCUCAACCACUGGAAAGUGCACAGUAACCAACCUGAAACGAGUACUCUGUAGGCACUCAUACUUUUAGACCACCCUCUUAACUUUGCUUAGGGCUUGGCAGUGACACGUGAAGUUGGCAGUGCUGUAGAUGGGGAGCUCCUUCUGCUUUCUCUUCACCUCUCCCCUUUCUUGCCCCUGCUGCAGAUGCCCUCACCGUGUUGGUGUGCCUGGAGCUGUGAGCACACACUUGUGCUUCUGUAGCUCCACGUGCACAGAGGUGCCUGGCUUAGCUCAAGGUAUCUUCAAGCAUCUGCAUGGCAUGGGAGCGAGCAUUUUCCCUUUCUCCUUCCUCUCAGUGGAGUCUUCUCCAGCUGAACCUCCCUCCCCAGAACUCCCACCUUCCUGCACACAAUAGACUACCACAGUGCCUCCUGCUUCUCCCUGCCUUCAUGCCCAUACCACAUCGGGCUGUGGUCUCCAGUAUCUUGUGCUGACGGUCGAUAUCCAGAUGGUGCAGUUAACAGGGCUCAGUGCAGUCAAUCUUCUUUAUUCUUGCCAGUCUCACCGUUCCUCGCUGUGGCUCUGACCAUCACCUCACCACAGCUGAGUCAAUCAACUGCUCUGCGGGUUGCAAUCUCCUGUGUGACCCUGCUGGAGUUCACAAUAGGUGCCCAGUGGCUGGACAUGUUGGAUGAAGGCUGUCACCUCCUACCUCCCAGAGGGCUCGUUAAAUAAAGGCUUAAUUUUUUUGCUGCUUUCCAUUUGCACCCACCAGAGCCAUGGCAAGCUGCAGAAUCUGCCCUUUCUGCUAACUCAUCUAUGUGCUUCCUGAUCUCGGGUGUCUGGAGGUGGUGGGCUGUGGGAUCAAACUGUGGCUGUCUCCCUAUGCCUCAGUUUCCCAGCCUGCACAGCAGAGCUUGGGAAGCUACUUUCUCUUUUCCCCAUCCUGGACGGUCUCUGGAUGUAAGCAUUUCUUUGUGAAGUCUAAGUGUUAAGGGUAGCUUGAAUAAGAGUUCACUUAAACCAAGGAUGGGCAAAUAGCUGAAGGUCAUAAAUACGCAGCUGAGUAAUUAUUUAGAGUGGUCUAGGAGAUGUAACUAUGGAUAAUGGGAUAAAAGAAGGUGAGGAAAACAUGGCAUAGUUAACAGAAAAUUCUCUCUGAUACCAUGCUUAGAGCUGCAGAAGGAAAACUAUAGGACCUUGAUAAAUCUGAAGGAGUGGUUUAUGGAUUGAUACAAGAUAUAAUGGCUGAAUCCCCAAGGAGAUGCAAUGAAUGGCAUCUGUAUACAGUGAAUACAUCUAUAUUUAGUGAAAGGAAACCUCAAAAGGUUUCCCAGGGAAACCUCAAAAAAACUUCUCAUUGAUUUGAGGAAUGGACUGAGUUGCCUAUGUGGCCAUUUCUACCUGAGUGUUUGCCAUGUUGGAGUUGAUUGCAAGAUCACACACACUAGGAUGGGAUCUUGUGAUGUGAUCUUCAAAAAUGGCAAGAAAAAUGAGAACAUGGUGUAGUUUCAGGAAGCUGAGCAUCAUUGGUGGAGAAUCCUCUCUCCCUGCGUUUCCCACACCAAAUGUAAGAUGUGAGAUUUCUCUCCUUGGGCUUCUUCCAAACAUACAGCUGAAAGAUGGCUUGGAAGGACAUAGGGAGAUCUAGGGUUGUGAGUGUGAGGACUGAGGCCAAGGACUGACACACCUGAUGUCAUGUUCAGAUUAUCAAACUCAAGUACAUGUGAAUGAUGCAGGGAUGGAGCUGCUGACCACCCUGUCAUCCCAGCUUGCAUGACAGGACAGGCAGACCCUUGUCUGUGGGGAGUUGGACAUGGGGCAAGGUCACACUUCUGGCUUUCCUGUCCUGCCUGCAGAGACGGGCAUUGCCCCCAUGCUGUCACCCACUGCCUGCUGGCACUUUGCUGUUUCCUGCUUCCAGCAGUGUUUUACACAUUGCCCAGUAAUUCCUGGCUUCCUCAGUAGCAUGUGGGAUUUUAUCUAAGGCUUUCGGGCAAUCCUAACAAAUUAUAUCUACUGAUUUCUUUUUUCCCUUUAUCCAUUGUUUUGUUGAUUUCAUCAGAAAUCUCCCAGAGCAGGCAUGCACGCUUUGGCUUUCAGAAGCCCUCAGUUUGUUCCUUUUCUAUCGCAGCCACUUAAUGUUGCAAUUAAUUUUUCUGGGGUUGAAUUAUUGUUCUGAGCAGUCCUCAAAAGGGGCAAUCGGAGGAGCAAACUGGCCAGGAUCUGGGUGUAGCAAUCGUAGCGUGGGCUCUCGGGCACCAGGCGGGGAUGCUUUAGGUAGGAUGUUUGCAGAAGUGAUGCGUGUGCAGAGAGAGCAUCCCUGCUUAGAGGAGCGGGGAAUAUCCUAGCAGUGAGAUGUCUAAAGCGAUCCCCAAAAGCCCGGAUUGUUGCCAUGAAACACGGAUGCAGGAGCAUGCUCAUCCCUGCGAUAGUUUAGCUGGCUGAGCACAGAGUUGCUGCGUCUUUGUCCUUGAAACCCAACGAUUGGGAGUUUGUGGCCAGGCUGGCUGCUGCGGUAUGGAGCAACAAAACCAACCUGCAAAGGGUUAAUCAUUUCCAUUGCAAUUGUGUCAUCUCUUUGGGGACCUCUCGCUCAUUUUGCAAGCAGCCGCUGAAAGCCGAGGCGCGGGGGCUUUUUCUUAUUCAGCUGCACGCAGCUUCAGAAGCACUGGACAGCCGCACAGCUGUGCUCAGCCGCCUUGGCCUUGCAGAUGGAUGGAGAAAAGGAUUUGUGUGCAUGCGUGUGCUUGCGUGUGUGUGUGUGUAUGUGUGUCUGAAACCUAAUUGUCUGCUGUCUAAUCCGUCAGCCGGGGGGACAGCUUGCACAAGCCCCUUCCAGGCAGCCUGAUAAAUGCAGCGCUGCCAGGGCCCUUUGCGAUGUAGUUGGGUUUAAUUGGGAUUGCUACGUGCAUGGACUCUGUGUGCCUGCCUAUGUGAGGGAUGCUGCUUGCAGGGAUGCAUGCAGCUGCUGUCCAGAGGACUGGGGCUGUGCACCCAGCCUGGCUCCUGCUGGGGGCCUGGGAGCAGCACAGUGACAGCACUGAGCGGUCCCACUGCUUAUGGACUUUGCAACUUGCAUGGGUUUGGCAUCUCCUGAGGUAGGGCUUGGAGAGACAGCGGGCUGCUAAGAUUGUGGGGUCUGGCUUGGGGAUGUCACCUGCUAUCUCCAGUGUAGUGCAAGGAAUGGUAGAGGGUGUCCCCACCGCAGAUUUGGGCAGGGGUGUGCCUCUUGAGCACGCUCCCAGCCCCAAGCACGUGGCAGUUCAGGGACUUCCCCAACCAGAGUGGCAUUUUGUCCUUAAUACCCCUCCGUGGAUUUCCCAUGAAUUUGUCUGGUUGAUUUUUUUUUUGUAAACGCAGAAGCUUUAAUCAUCCCCUGAGAGCUGUGGUGAGGACUUCCACUGUUUAACCACAUACCAUGUGAAGAGCCAUUUUCUCUUGUUCCUUUUGAAUCUGCUGCCUCUUAAUGUCAUUGGAUAUCUCCUAAUUCUUUUAUUGGGAGACACAGUGAGCAAUCAAACUUGGUUCACCUUUUUGAGGCCACAGAUGUGCCUCUCUAGCUGCUUGGUUUCCAAGCUGAGUUCUUUCUCCUGUGGACUCACUGUUUGAUCAUCCUGCUCUGGACCUUUCUCCAGCUCUGCUGGUGACGUCAGGACUCUGCAGGUGGUGACAUCCUCAUUCAUUAUAUAAUUAGGGGUGAUGUCAUGAUUACAGCAGAUGGAAUUUGUAUCAGCAUUGGUUGCUUACUGCACGUUGAUGUCAGGAGACUGUUGUGUCCUGCCCAGUCACAAGAACUUCUUUUGAAGCUGUUGAUCUUCAUUGUAGGGAGUCUAAAAUAAUAAUUUUUUGCCUAUGAGUUCCCUGGAUGAAAAGGACAAUGCCAAGUUGUUGUUUUUCAGGAACCACUGUGCUUUGCAAGAUAUCCCUGACUCAAAUGAGCAAUGUGGCUCUGUCAUUUCAUCCCCCAGGUGCAGACACCUCAGCUGGUACCCACCAAGUCUUCCAUAAUAAAUGCACAUCAGGUUUCAGGGCAGGUGAUUCAAGGGAAUCACAUUUCCAGGCAAGGGAUUAUAGGACAACAGACGGGCUAUUUGUGUGGUAAUGCAAAUGGGUGCCCAAAUCUCCCCCAGGGCUGUAAUAGAACACCGUGGUGCUUCUGUACCCCAAAGCUUCAGGAAGGACGUGGCCUGGUGCUGUGGAUCUGGGAGCAAAGAAGUGGGAGUAUGACAGCGUGGUCACCCUGUGCAUCCCUUCCCAUGGCUCCCCCAUGCCCCCUCCCUGCCCUCCUGCUUCCUCAUCCCUCCUCCU